RNAcentral lists this non-coding RNA (46 nucleotides) under Schistosoma margrebowiei. The record is from RNAcentral. Lineage: Eukaryota; Metazoa; Platyhelminthes; Trematoda; Strigeidida; Schistosomatidae.
GCACUGCUGAGGAGUCCCACAAUAGGACAAAACGGCCUUUCAGUGC